GUUUGCUUCCAGACUGGGAUGCUGGGAAGGAUUCUCCAUUAGCCUGGCGCUCUGAAGUUGUGAAGCCCUCUGGGCAUUCUGCAGAUGUGUCUGCAGGGACGCCUUCAACAACUCCUACCUUGGAUGCUGCACAAAAGCCCAGCUCCCAUCACAGGGGUCCUCCACCAGAAGAGAUCAAAGACAUGGCAGGCAAGAAGUUCCAGAAUCCAUUAGAAAUUACGUGGCAAAUGCUGAAGGAAGUGCUGCAGGGAGGACAA
This is a long non-coding RNA of Passer domesticus (house sparrow), 257 nucleotides long. RefSeq lists it as uncharacterized. Lineage: Eukaryota; Metazoa; Chordata; Aves; Passeriformes; Passeridae. The record is from RefSeq and is a predicted model, not a curated record. The transcript is spliced from 3 exons.